This 543-nucleotide long non-coding RNA is filed under the name Pan troglodytes (chimpanzee). RNAcentral's name for it is "long non-coding RNA NONPTRT014780". The record is from RNAcentral. Lineage: Eukaryota; Metazoa; Chordata; Mammalia; Primates; Hominidae.
GUUGAAUGUUUCUUUAAAUAAAAGGCUUAGUUUGCAUUUGGUUGUGAUGCAGUAUGGAGAAUGUGAGACCGUUUUUUCCAAACAAGAUUGCUCAUUCCUACAGGAAAUGACCUCGUUCUUGAUGGCUGCUGCUAACUUAUGGUGAGAUGCUGGGUCCCUGUCCAAUACCACAUGGACAUCCAAUCAAUUUACCCAGGGACAAGUCCACUCAAGAGCAUCAUUUAGAAGAGGGAAAAGGCAUUGGGGUUAUUUGUUUUUGGAGUAUGUGCUUAAGGAAAUCUAGAGUAUUCCCACGAGCAUUCUGCUGAGAUGAACAAUCAGAUGACCUCGUGUGAGAUUUGGAGGAGAGAAGGAAAUGGAGAGCAUGCUUCUGCCGCUUCUGUGGUUUCUGUCGGUAAGCACAGUGAUGAGGUGCUGAGUUUUCCCCAGAAGGCCUCCCAGUGUCCUAUUACCAGCUUCACAAGCGUCGAGGGCAGGGCAUGGGCAUCCAUUGUUCACCAGUGGAGAUCUAUCUGGCACAGAACCGAUCCAACCAUUGCAGUG